This 87-nucleotide transfer RNA is filed under the name Hyphomicrobium album. Its description in RNAcentral is "Hyphomicrobium sp. xq tRNA-Leu". It matches the Rfam family "tRNA". Rfam says of the family: Transfer RNA (tRNA) molecules are approximately 80 nucleotides in length. Lineage: Bacteria; Pseudomonadati; Pseudomonadota; Alphaproteobacteria; Hyphomicrobiales; Hyphomicrobiaceae. The record is from RNAcentral.
GCCCCAGUGGCGGAACCGGUAGACGCGACAGACUCAAAAUCUGUUGUCCGCAAGGAUGUGCCCGUUCGAGUCGGGCCUGGGGCACCA